RNAcentral lists this long non-coding RNA (1178 nucleotides) under Nicotiana benthamiana. RNAcentral describes it as "long non-coding RNA (NBEN_LNC030521)". The record is from RNAcentral. Lineage: Eukaryota; Viridiplantae; Streptophyta; Magnoliopsida; Solanales; Solanaceae.
UCCUGUCAGACCCAAAUACACUCUAAUGAAAAAUAAAAUGCUACAAACAGCAAGAGACAUUAGAUAAUGAUAUUCUUUCUUCAAAUAAUUAAGCAUAAUGUUUUGCUUCACAGGAAAUUUGGAUAAAUACUGCAAGCUAUAAGAAAGCAAGAUAACUCAGUCUCACAAAAAUAUAAUUUGGUUACCUGAUAGGUACCUCAGCCUGGAGAGAUGGAAGCGCUAGCAGUAAGAAUACAAAAUCAGUUCUGAAGGUGACAUGAAACAGAUUGAGACUUCUGAUGUAAUCUAUAGAAUCAUAUUGCGACUGUUAAAAAUCAAAUAAACAUUUAAUCUGCGUGAAAGAUAAUCAUAUGACCACAUGUAUGUUUUUGCUACCAUUCAAAGUGCUACGGCCACCCCUAUCUAUGUUUGUAGCUACUCUGAUUUUUCCCUGUAAAAGUUUGUUCCCUUCAUGAAACUUAGAAACCAAUUGAUAAACUACUCAAGAAAGCUAAGGUAAGAGGAGAUGUGGACUUUCCAAACAAAGAACACCACUGAGGAAGCUUCUUAAGUACUGUUUCAGUUGGGGAAGUAAUUCUAUCAACAUCUGUCCUCAGUUUUAACAAGGGUUGCUCUGUUUUGCUAUCCUUCUUCUGAGACUUAUGAGUAUGAUUGUUGGCCCAAAAAAACAAGGGUUGCUCUGUGUUGCUAUCCUCCUUCUGAGAUUUAUAAGUAUGAUUGUUGGCCCAGAAAAGUGUCAGACUGAAUUUCCUUGGUGCCUUCUUCCCUCCUGAAAACUGAAUUAUGUGCCAUCCGUCUGCAUUGCUCUUGUCACCAAUUGGGACCAACUCUUCGGGACCGCCUGCACCGACAUCAAUCACACAAAAUUGGGAAAGAGAAAAUCAGAAGAACAGUGGAAAGAACAAGAACAAAAUCAAUUCUUAGCACAGGCUUUUAAUAAUACAACUAUGAUCUAUCAUUACGUGCACCUGUCUCAACUAUAGAAAGAGCACAUCCAUUAUUUACUACCGAGUCAUUAUUAUGAAGCUUUAUAGAUUAGGUCAAAAUUCUCUCCACUAAUUGUCCUUAGUUCCUUAUCCUUUUCUCUCCAUUUUACUUAUAGACACGUCAAAAAUAGUACUGCAGACAAAGACUCUACUUCCUAGUAUCCCAACGGCAGCCGGUGGCUUGGAGCUUUA